This 496-nucleotide ribosomal RNA is filed under the name uncultured bacterium. RNAcentral's name for it is "partial 16S ribosomal RNA". It matches the Rfam family "Bacterial small subunit ribosomal RNA", at positions 29 to 507 of the family's 1533-position model. The record is from RNAcentral.
AUGAACGCUGGCGGCGUGCCUCAUCCAUGCAAGUCGAGCGAACAGACGAGGAGCUUGCUCCUCUGCCGUUAGCGGCGGACGGGUGAGUAACACGUGGAUAACCUACCUAUAAGACUGGGAUAACUUCGGGAAACCGGAGCUAAUACCGGAUAAUAUAUUGAACCGCAUGGUUCAAUAGUGAAAGACGGUUUUGCUGUCACUUAUAGAUGGAUCCGCGCCGCAUUAGCUAGUUGGUAAGGUAACGGCUUACCAAGGCAACGAUGCGUAGCCGACCUGAGAGGGUGAUCGGCCACACUGGAACUGAGACACGGUCCAGACUCCUACGGGAGGCAGCAGUAGGGAAUCUUCCGCAAUGGGCGAAAGCCUGACGGAGCAACGCCGCGUGAGUGAUGAAGGUCUUCGGAUCGUAAAACUCUGUUAUUAGGGAAGAACAAAUGUGUAAGUAACUAUGCACGUCUUGACGGUACCUAAUCAGAAAGCCACGGCUAACUACGUG